GGAUAACUGGACUAAGAAGUCAAAUAAAAUAUGUGAUGCCUAUGGAAUNCUAGACUACCAAACAGACUAUGUAAAGAGUCUUGCUGAAGAAGUNAAUUAUGGCUAUGANGUGGAUUGCUCUGAAUUGGUUCGAUAUCGAUUGGGGUAUGCAGCGG
RNAcentral lists this unclassified non-coding RNA (155 nucleotides) under Exaiptasia diaphana. RNAcentral describes it as "flavin-containing monooxygenase FMO GS-OX-like 8, transcript variant X1". Lineage: Eukaryota; Metazoa; Cnidaria; Anthozoa; Actiniaria; Aiptasiidae. The record is from RNAcentral.